RNAcentral lists this ribosomal RNA (495 nucleotides) under uncultured Lachnospiraceae bacterium. RNAcentral's name for it is "bacterial SSU rRNA". It matches the Rfam family "Bacterial small subunit ribosomal RNA", at positions 66 to 576 of the family's 1533-position model. Lineage: Bacteria; Bacillati; Bacillota; Clostridia; Lachnospirales; Lachnospiraceae. The record is from RNAcentral.
AUUGAAACUUCGGUCGAUUUAAUUUAAUUCUAGUGGCGGACGGGUGAGUAACGCGUGGGUAACCUGCCUUAUACAGGGGGAUAACAGCCAGAAAUGGCUGCUAAUACCGCAUAAGCGCACAGAGCUGCAUGGCUCAGUGUGAAAAACUCCGGUGGUAUAAGAUGGACCCGCGUUGGAUUAGCUUGUUGGUGGGGUAACGGCCCACCAAGGCAACGAUCCAUAGCCGGCCUGAGAGGGUGAACGGCCACAUUGGGACUGAGACACGGCCCAGACUCCUACGGGAGGCAGCAGUGGGGAAUAUUGCACAAUGGGGGAAACCCUGAUGCAGCGACGCCGCGUGAAGGAAGAAGUAUCUCGGUAUGUAAACUUCUAUCAGCAGGGAAGAUAGUGACGGUACCUGACUAAGAAGCCCCGGCUAACUACGUGCCAGCAGCCGCGGUAAUACGUAGGGGGCAAGCGUUAUCCGGAUUUACUGGGUGUAAAGGGAGCGUAGAC